This is a long non-coding RNA of Dermacentor albipictus, 4899 nucleotides long. RefSeq lists it as uncharacterized. The record is from RefSeq and is a predicted model, not a curated record. NCBI's taxonomy places the organism in Eukaryota, Metazoa, Arthropoda, Arachnida, Ixodida, Ixodidae.
GCCAGCAAUAACUACAAUCAGAACCAGAGGCUUCCAGACAGCAAUACUGGCUGCCAAGCAUCAGUAAAACUGCCAACAGAACAUCUAAGGGGGUCUGGUAGGGUAAAAGCCCCCAAAAAUCAAGUUUGCAAUUUUGGCACAGAAAAAUCUACUGCACUAAAAAUGAACAAACCUGCGAAAGCGCGACCUCAAGCGCCCACUCAAAGCGGUUCAAAUGUCAUGCCGAAGUGUGCCGUGCGCCCUAGCAUUUAAAAAUGGCAGGCGGAGGCCAGUUUGUUUAUCGUUAUCGUUCGCGGUUUUCUUCGUUAUGGCUUUCUUUUUUUUUUGCUUGUGUGUGUGUCUAUGGUAAGUAAAUGAUUUGUACUAACUAAUUAUAUAUUAAUUAAAAGAAAAUGAGACGUUCACCCAAUCGUAGCAAUUGCCACAGAGGAAUCCCAUACGGGUUCCUCGAAUGAAAAGCAUCGCAGUUGAUGAAAAAUUCAUCCUGGUCCAGGGCUCGAACCUGGGACCACCGCCUUUCUUGGGGCAGCCGUUCUAUCAUCUGAGCUAAUUAGGCGGCUAGCAGAUGGCAGGGCGAAGUCGAAUUUGUUAACAGCUCGAAGCAAGAGUUUGACGUAAUAGCCCUUUGCAGAAAAGAACUAUUACGUCAAACUCUUGCUUUUGUUUACGUGGUCGUGGUCACCUCCGUUUUGAGUUUCGAACGUAUUACUUGCCCAGAAGAUGGCACGAUUGUCCAGCAAAUGGAACAAAAAGAGAACUUUCAAAGAUAAUCGGUCUUGUGAGCAAAUUUUUUUCAUGGACGAACACAGAAUACCAACGAGUCGCGCAACCAACUCAUCUGGUGCCGAUGCCCUAAGAAAACUUUGUCAGUGCUUACACAUUGAAGACAGCAAUUAACAGUGCUGUAGCCUACUACGAUGACGGUAAUUCUUCACGAAAAGUUGUUCUGGAGGCCCUUGGUCCGCUCCAGAUCUGUUUUGUAAUACUGCCCUCGACAGGAUGAACAAAGAGCGUGUUGACAGGGCAGAAUUCUUUGCCCCCAUCGAAAAGUGGCUGCCGUGGCCAGGAUUCGAUCGCGCGACCUCAUGCUUAGCAGCCCAACACCAUAGCCACUAAGCAACCACGGCGGUAGAAAAUUCAAAGCUGUCUACAAAGUAGUCGCAUAACCAUGUCACAUAACUUGCAAAUAUAAAGCAUGUCUGCACUGUACUUCUUUCCUAGCAGGACCUUUGCAGUACUUGUGUAACCAAUGCGAUGCAAGCUUAAACCAAAUACAUAUUUCCUACUUUAACCAAUCCAAGAGAUACUCUCUAUAGAAUUGCAAUAUCCAUUUGUGGUACAGUGCGACGAUGUUGUAAACCUUUCAUUUCAGAUUUGUAACAAAUUUUGUAAAUAAUUUGAUUUCCUAACUUGACAUUCUAUUCCAGUCACUUAGCCUUCUUAAAGGGACACUAAAGAGAAAAACAAUUUGAGGUGAACUAUUAAACUACCCUUGCACAAUACCAAAACACCCUCCUUUAUCGCGAGAGGAGGUUUGCUAAGCCAGAAAAGACGAAAAAACAAAAGGCUGGUGGUGACAUCACCCAUCUUGGCAAGUUUCAAGAGCUUUUGUUGAGCCACGAGAAUGGUUCAAAUGCAAUAAAACACUUUGAAGUCUGUGAUGUCACAUUGACAUACUGGCGCUUGGGUUUCGGUGCGAAAUUCUGAAAAUGAAACUUUGGCCUUUAUUUAUUCUUCUACUAAUCAAGCUGUUUCUGCAAAAUUAAAUAUUAUUGAGUUCUUAAAGAAUACUUUGUCAGUUUAACCUGACGGAGUUUCUCUUUAGUGUCCCCUUUGAAGCAAAAAAUUAAAAUACAUUCGAUGGUUGUCUAACAAGAGCAUUUCUGUGUUCCACGUUUUAAAUAGGGAAAUCAGAGUUAGCCUAGAGCCGAAGCGUUCUCUUAGCUGGGCAUUUCUUAACUAAUGCUUACACUGAUCUUUUCAGUUCACACAACAAGAACUAGCACAUGAGCAACGAAUGCAGACAACAGGUUCAUGAACACAGGACCUACGACAUUCAAAAGAUAAAAUGGUCAGGUUCAACAUAAACACAUUUUCUGAAUUCUGCUAGCAAGAGCCUUCAGGAGUGCUUGAAGUGAUAUGAGCAAAAAAAUUUUUUUGUUGAUUUCAAAGCGUUCUUCCAGUUCAUGUCACAGUGCCAGCUUUCAUUUGUAACACCAAAGUAAGCACUAGAGCUUUACUGUAGCAUUCUUUUAAUAUUAUGAAGACAUAUGAGAAUGCAUGCAGAUGACCAGCCACCACAUCUACGAUUCAUCAUGAUAAGAGUGGUUGUCACAGCAGAGUUGUAUAAAUAUUGACAGCCACACAUUCAAGCCUUAUUGCUAACAUUUGUAAUAUUCAUGCAGAAUGAGCAAUACUUUCCUAAAGACAAACGUAGCACCUCAAUACCAAGCAAAUCAUGGCUCAAAGUGCAACUUAAAGGCCAUAUAAACUGCAAGCGAGGGCGAAAACUAUAACCAAAAGCAAGUUUCCAAUACAUUCUGAAAAGCAUGACAUCGCAUGCAGUAUUAUAAAGAGAAACUACUUAACAGGCAGGAUUAAUAAAGCUUACAAGCAAGAGCUUGUAAAUAUGGUGCUUUUACUACGGUCUAUUGCCUCCAUAUGUUAUUUGAGGCAUGUUACUGAGCACUAAUAUUCACUAGGAUGUCUUGUUUGCUUCCCUACAGACAGCACUGCAGUUUAAUAGGACCACGGUCACUAUAUGUUCUCAAAGAAGUACCAUUUUAUUGCAAUAGUAAAUGUACAAAAACUAGAGAGCAGCACUUUGCGCCAUCAUGAUUGUCGUGCUGACCUGCUAUCAACAACGCAUGUGCGGCCUGCAUGUGGAGGAUUGGAAGGUUUCCAGAGAUGCCAAGUAUGUUUGGAAACGAACACACCCUUGCACUCUAGUCAAUAAGAUCUGUGGGAGCCAGGGCAACAUUCUGGCCUCCACUGUUGGCACGAGUGUUGUGCACACACACAGCGUUCUCUUUGAGCAGCCAUGUCCAUACCACACAGUGGUGAACGUCAAGCUAAAUUAUGUAAUCCUUUUUUUGGAACACUGACCAAUGCCAAUGGUUUUCCUUCAGUCUCGUCUCGUGCACCGCCGAAGUCCUACACCACUGGUACACUCAUCAUGCCAGCAUUACCAGUGCCUUCCACUUACCACUGCCUUCACAUACUUUUCGCUCACACUUUGUUCCCUUAGCGAGUUGCUGACAAAAAGGUUUGAAACGUCCCAAGCGACUCUAAUUGGCGACAAUAAAUUCCAAGGUCAUAGGAGGCUGAAAUAGGCAAUAACAGAGGAAGUAGCACUGCUCCUAACAUGAAGGGUUCUCAAAGUGGACAUUUUACUUAGGCUGCAGAGUUAAAACAAAACAAAAAAUGAACACCAGAAUGGUUACUCAUGUCCAGGCCAUCACCUGUAAACACUAGUGCAAUCUGAUGUAGGUGUCCUAUAAUAAUAGUAGUGUAUGCUGAAGCUCACGAACACACUGCUUAUCUUUCAAGCAGCAGGCUUUCCCCAUGAUCUCUGUGAAGGUAAAUUUGAGUACUUCACGUUUGCAAUGGGAGCCAACAUACUGGGACACUCCUAUAACCUAACGAUUCCCUAUCCCAUGCCAGUCAUGAAGCACCAUUGUGUAAAGAAAAAUUCACUGCCACAUCUAGCAUGUCAUGAAGGUCAACCUUACCACUUCCGCAUGCAAAAUCUUACAGCUGCAGCAUGAGUGAUCACGCACUCUCCAUUUUCCUUCAGCCUUCAUAAUUACCUUACGCAACUCACCAUGCCAAAUGGUCCCUUGCACAUCAAAGCCCGAUGGCAAAAAGGUACGCCAAAAAUCAGGUUUACGCUUAAACUAUGAAUUACGCACACUUACAUUUACAUAGAACCGCAGCGAGGGCGCAACAUCCUGCCGACCAUUGAGCAACUAACCUUUUCAAAUGUCACGCACCUUUCCAUUUAUUUGCGACACAGCAGCAAGAAUGCGGCCCACAUUCCUGCGAGGGAAUCAGUUUUGUUCGCAAUGAAACGACAGCAAACGAUUUCGGUGGCUGAGCAACACGCGAUAUUUAUUUGGCACAAAGAAGUUGAGCAGUUUCUAACAGAUAGCGACGGACUUGGCAAUGGUGAUUGCCUUGGGACGCGCAAUAACCUCGCGACUGCCCAGAGGGUGGCCCUAGUUGCAGUUACAUAGCGGAACUGACGCUGCUUCCAAAAAAGAAUCGUCUACGUCGUUUCGGGAGGCGGCGACAGCGGCAGGCGCGUUUUCUUGCACGCGCUGGCCCAGAUCUUCAAAACGCGCGAAAGAGAAAACACACAAGUAGCAGAGGUAGCAGAGGUCACGUGCACGAUGCGUGAAUGUGCAACUUAAGCUGCAAUGACUGCGACCUAAACGCGGUCGCGUCUACAUAGCUGAAAAGCCAUGUGUUCAUUUGUUAACUAUGAUGCAACCCAUGUUCGCUUCACUGGAAACCUGACAGGCGAUCGGGCAUACAACAGACAUUACAAGUUUCGGCGGAACUCCCGUAAGGCUCUGCAAUUACAGCAGCCAUCUUGCAGAAUUCAGCAUGUCGGUCACUGUGGAUGCCAGGCCGUUUGAGCAAGGCGUUCCGGAUACGUCGCCGUGUACCUUGGCAAGUCCACAACAGGUGGUACACAUCGGUGUCCAGUGCCAGGGUCGUACAGUAGGCGCGAGCGGCGUCGUCAUUGACGAAGCUCUUCCACUUGCAGAGAAAGAAGCAGUAGGCGACGAAGAAGAGCCUGCCGACGUCGUUCUCGAAAGGCAGGCCGAACGUGGAGAGGGUGCUUCCGUCGUCGGCGCGGCGCACAAGGCUGAAGAUGUCCCAGGCCACGCGCAC